RNAcentral lists this ribosomal RNA (253 nucleotides) under uncultured bacterium. Its description in RNAcentral is "partial 16S ribosomal RNA". It matches the Rfam family "Bacterial small subunit ribosomal RNA", at positions 524 to 776 of the family's 1533-position model. The record is from RNAcentral.
AACGUAGGUACCGAGCGUUAUCCAGAUUUACUGGGCGUAAAGCGCGUUCAGGCGGUUUGGCAAGUCGGGCAUGAAAUCUCUCGGCUCAACCGGGAGAGGUUGUCCGAUACUUCCAGACUUGAGGGCAGUAGAGGGUGGUGGAAUUCCGGGUGUAGUGGUGAAAUGCGUAGAUAUCCGGAGGAACACCAGUGGCGAAAGCGGCCACCUGGACUGCACCUGACGCUGACACGCGAAAGCUAGGGGAGCGAACGGG